This is a non-coding RNA of Camelina sativa (false flax), 1504 nucleotides long. Lineage: Eukaryota; Viridiplantae; Streptophyta; Magnoliopsida; Brassicales; Brassicaceae. The record is from RefSeq and is a predicted model, not a curated record.
CAUCAAAGGAUUUAACAAGUAUCUUAAGAGUUCCUAAAGUAUUUUUAUAGAUUAAAUUUAAUUUUUUUUUGUGUAAUUAGAUCGAUGGUUACAUAAGAUAUUUUAGAUGAGUUUAGAAACUUGGCUGUGUCAGUUUCUGAUUGGAUGAGUAAAAAAUAAAAAUUUAUUUUUUUGUUACCCGAUUUUCUCUCUCGUCUCUCUCGUCUCUCUCGUUUAUUUCGAAGUCGAUAGGUUCUCCACAAAGAAGAAGCAAAGAAUUGAAGGUGAUUCUCAAUUGGAAAGGGGAUUUCACCGUCGGCUCAUCUCCACCGUUCUGGGCUCAUCAAUCCGGGAGUCUUUUGGUUGACCCAACCGGAUUUUCUAGUGGCUAAAUCUCCAAAGGGGUGGUUCAAUGAUGCUAUAUCAAAGCAGAGAAAGGUUCAAAAUCAUUGAAAGAGAAGCUUGCUGCUGUGACGCCUCUUGUUGAGGACUUGAGAUUGCAAAAAGAUGAAAGAAUGGCUGCUCUUGGAGUCUUAAACAUCCAUUCACCGAUCAAAGCAGAGAAGGUGGUCUUAUUUGCGCAAUGCCAAACAUUUGCAGAUGAGUUAUCUUACUCAACUCUUGACUGUUUAUUUAUUCAUUGAUUACGUUGAUGGUUUUGGUUGCUGGUCUGAGCGUAUUUAGUAACGAAUCAGUUUGAUUGAAAAAGAUAAUUAUUCAUUGAUGUCUCUUUCUCUUUCUUAGUCUUUCGGAUAUUUGCAUCAUGAAUUUGCAUCAUUCAAUUGACAAGAAUUGUUUGGUAAAUGUCACUCUUAAACACUCAAUGGUUUGUAACUUGUCAUUGUUUGCUUGUAUUGUCACAUUUAAACAUACAUUGUUGGUUGUUGUCACAGUAAUACACUUAUUGUCUAGUGUUAGGUUAUACUUAAUGCUUGGUAGUUGUCAUUGAUUGCUUGUUAUGUCACAUUUAAAAACCAAAUACACUUACACCUCACUUCUAGUUAUAUAUUAAGUGUUGGCUGAACCUAAACAUAUACCUUUCUUUCUCCUUUACAUACCUAACCAGAUAAUCAAUCCUUCAUGAUUGCUAUGUCUCCUUCCAUUAGGAUUGCCGACAAGAAGAAGAAGAAUACAAGAAGUUGUUGGUCACGGACAAGAAGCUUUUGGGCAGGGACAACAAGCAACGAGUCACGGACCUGCAUCUUUUUCUCACGGACAAGAAGCAACGAGUUCACGGACAUGCAUCUUUUUCUCAAGGACAGCAAGCAACGAGUUCACGGACCUGCAUAGUUGGUCACGAACGAGAGUGUCAUGCCUUUGUAACACCACAAGGUCAUCAAUAUAUAAGACCAUCUUCGUAGACACAUUACGGUCAAGCUUUUUCAUCUUUGUACCCACAAUAUCAAGCUUUUUCAUAUUUGUACCCACAAUAUUAAGUUUUUUCAUCUUCCAAAAAUACAUAUUCUUCUUCUUGUACAAUAUUAUUCUCCCAGUUUAUCAAACUCUUCUUCUAUUUUUUUUUUUA